Molecule: microRNA precursor, 76 nt
Filed under: Cricetulus griseus (Chinese hamster)
Lineage: Eukaryota; Metazoa; Chordata; Mammalia; Rodentia; Cricetidae
Description: miRNA (ENSCGRG00000021777.1)
Source: RNAcentral
CUCGUAUGCAGAAAGCUGCUUCAGGGCUGGAGAGAUGGCUCAGCCGUAAAAGGCUAGGCUCACAACCAAAACUAUA